RNAcentral lists this ribosomal RNA (285 nucleotides) under uncultured bacterium. RNAcentral describes it as "partial 16S ribosomal RNA". It matches the Rfam family "Bacterial small subunit ribosomal RNA", at positions 335 to 617 of the family's 1533-position model. The record is from RNAcentral.
GCCCUACGGGAGGCAGCAGUGAGGAAUAUUGGUCAAUGGGCGGGAGCCUGAACCAGCCAAGUCGCGUGAGGGAGGACGGUCCUACGGAUUGUAAACCUCUUUUGCCGGGGAGCAACGGGGUCCUUGCGCGGUCCCAAUGCGAGUACCCGGAGAAAAAGCAUCGGCUAACUCCGUGCCAGCAGCCGCGGUAAUACGGAGGAUGCGAGCGUUAUCCGGAUUUAUUGGGUUUAAAGGGUGCGUAGGCGGGCUGUUAAGCCACCGGUCAAAUGCCGGGGCUCAACCCCG